GAUGUAGCACAGUGGGAGAGCAUUUGCCUAACAUUCGUGAGGCCCUGGGUUCAAUUCCCAGCAUC
Molecule: transfer RNA, 65 nt
Filed under: Heterocephalus glaber (naked mole-rat)
Lineage: Eukaryota; Metazoa; Chordata; Mammalia; Rodentia; Bathyergidae
Rfam family: tRNA
About the family: Transfer RNA (tRNA) molecules are approximately 80 nucleotides in length. Their secondary structure includes four short double-helical elements and three loops (D, anti-codon, and T loops).
Source: Rfam by way of RNAcentral